AAGACAGAGGCUGUGUUCUCCUUUGGCAGGAUAAUCUAACAAACGGAUCUCUGGAUGAUGCUGAGCAACACAGUGCAAACCUACACUCUGGGCAUGACACUUUCUUGGCAAGACAGARCAAUUCGGCAUUCAGUCUCAAGCUGAAGCCUCCUCAAGCCUGUAAUACAUUCCUGGCCAACUCUUUUCAGAUUCGUAAGUGAAGUCUUACCCUUACUGCUCCAUGGACAGAGGCUCUACAACCCAAGAGACCGAAAUAAACCUGCAAGAAAGUGUGUAAUGGGAAACA
This 286-nucleotide long non-coding RNA is filed under the name Apteryx rowi (Okarito brown kiwi). RNAcentral describes it as "lncRNA (ENSARWG00000014638.1)". Lineage: Eukaryota; Metazoa; Chordata; Aves; Apterygiformes; Apterygidae. The record is from RNAcentral.